GGUUAGGGUUAGGGUUAGGGAAAUGUCUGGGGUUAUUGUUAGGGCUGAGGCUAGGGUUAGGGUUAGGGUUAGGGAAAUGGCUGGGGUUAGGGUUAGGGCUGAGGCUAGGGUUAGGGUUAGGGUUAGGGAAAUGGCUGGGGUUAGGGUUAGGGUUAGGGUUAGGGUUAGGGAAAUGGCUGGGGUUAGGGUUAGGGCUGAGGCUAGGGUUAGGGUUAGGGUUAGGGAAAUGGCUGGGGUUAGGGUUAGGGCUGAGGCUAGGGUUAGGGUUAGGGUUAGGGAAAUGGCUGGGGUUAGGGUUAGGGCUGAGGCUAGGGUUAGGGUUAGGGAAAUGGCUGGGGUUAGGGUUAGGGCUGAGGCUAGGGUUAAACCGAGGUGUGAACAUGAAGCUAGGGUUAGGGUUAGGGAAAUGGCUGGGGUUAGGGUUAAACCGAGGUGUGAACAUGAGGCUAGGUUUAGGGAAAUGGCUGGGGUUAGGGUUAAACCGAGGUGUGAACAUGAGGCUAGGGUUAGGGUUAGGGAAAUGGCUGGGGUUAGGGUUAAACCGAGGUGUGAACAUGAAGCUAGGGUUAGGGUAGGAUGAUUCUCCAAGAACACCAGGGAGAAUUGUCACUUGUUUUCCCCUUUCUGCAGAUUCUUUGUGCAGAGUGAGAGAGAAAGACAGAGAAAGAGAGUUGAAUACAUGUAUUCAUUCAUUUGAGGGGCAGUAUGCAUAGAGUCUGUUGGGACACCGAGUUCCAAGUCUUCCCUUACAUCACCCCUCGUGGCGCAUGUUGG
Oncorhynchus tshawytscha (Chinook salmon) is the source of this 774-nucleotide long non-coding RNA. The record is from Ensembl. Lineage: Eukaryota; Metazoa; Chordata; Actinopteri; Salmoniformes; Salmonidae.